AGAUCUCUGCAUCUUCGUUCCAAAAUCGAAGAGGAGAUUAUUUCCCCAGCUUCUCUCCGCUCUCUACAUCGUCUCCAGUCCGCCAGCCUCCGACUCCGACGAUCUUGGGGUUCUUAGUAGGCGUUCUCAGUUCGCCAGCCAUCGACUUCGACGACAGUCGGCGUUCUCAGGUUGCCAGCCUCGUACUUUGACGAUCUUGGCCAUUCUCAGCUUCACCUUCGAUCACCGACGGGUCUGCUCACUCUCGGGUCUCUCUCCCUAACGCCGACGGUCUGCGACUCCCUCUCGGCUCUCUCUCCAAACGGUCGGCGACACCCUCUUGGCUACGAGUUGCUCUCUCUGCCGAAACACAGUGAUCUCUCUUGCAACUACCUCAAUGGAUCAAUCCCCCCAAGCCUUUCUCGUGCACCCCUGCGCAUUCUGAGUGUACUGGGAAACCGACUCAGUGGUUCCAUUCCUCCAGAGAUUGGUAACAUUAGAACGCUCAGGGAGCUGUAAGUCUAAUAUAUAAAUGUGUAAUAUAUAGUAUGGUAGUGUCAAAAUGCAAGACUUUUUUAGCAAUAGUUUUCUGUCAAUUCUUUUAAGGAUCAAUUUAAUGUUUCUUCAAAAUCUGUAGGACUCAUAUAGAAGCAAAUAUUUUAAACCACUUUGUCAUAUCAAGACUUUUUUAUAAUUGUGUAUUUAUAUAUAAAUAUAUAUAUAUAUACUCAGUCAAGGUUU
Long non-coding RNA from Humulus lupulus (European hop), 720 nucleotides. RefSeq lists it as uncharacterized. The transcript has 3 exons. NCBI's taxonomy places the organism in Eukaryota, Viridiplantae, Streptophyta, Magnoliopsida, Rosales, Cannabaceae. The record is from RefSeq and is a predicted model, not a curated record.